Molecule: long non-coding RNA, 733 nt
Organism: Colossoma macropomum (tambaqui)
Lineage: Eukaryota; Metazoa; Chordata; Actinopteri; Characiformes; Serrasalmidae
Exons: 3
Source: RefSeq, a predicted model, not a curated record
UCUUGGUGAAAGCUCACUAAAAUAAACAUUGGACUGUAUUCAAAAUCGAUAAUAUACAGAGUGAAACCGUGUUAAACAGAGUGAAUAUCCACCGCAAUAUGGAUUUGUGGCACAUUAUGUAUUUCGGAACAGUGACACCAGUAUUUGUUACCAGUUCUUCAGUACCACCUGUAGAUGGAAAUUAGGAGGCAGCAGCUCUGCUGAAGGCCAGUCAGGAAAAGAGGGAGAGAAAGAAGCUGAGGGGACUGACAGGACUGAAGGAGCAGAUCUGAUGGAGGUUAGUGAUCAAGAAGAAAGUGAGGGAGAGAGAGCUGUAUACCUUUUGGUUAAAGUGAAUACUACAUUUAAUUGAACUUAACAGAGGAAAAUAUAGUCUUUGUCACCAUGACUGUGAAAUUCUGUCUUGUAGAUUAUUAAACAUGCCUAAAGAGAAAGAUCACGCUCUUUCUGAUCGUACCAACUGAGACUGAACUGACCUAUAAUCUGAGUGUUUGAAUAAUAUGUAAUAUAUUUAGGAUCUGCAGCUUAUCUAAGAGAGGUGAUGGCAUUGCUUGACUUCAGUACCUUUGCCUGUUGUAAGUGGUUACACUGACUCAAACUACGAAGAGACAGAUUUACCGUGUGCCAAUUUGAUAACCAUUUUUUAUACUUAAUACAGCUGAUGUACUUGACAUUUUCUGGCUGUUGCUGCUCUAAAACUGCAUCAUAAAUAUUUUGGGGCCAUUAAAAAAAU